Crotalus tigris (Tiger rattlesnake) is the source of this 1335-nucleotide long non-coding RNA. RefSeq lists it as uncharacterized. The transcript is spliced from 3 exons. The record is from RefSeq and is a predicted model, not a curated record. Lineage: Eukaryota; Metazoa; Chordata; Lepidosauria; Squamata; Viperidae.
AUCAGAACUGUGAGCUCUCUCUGUUGGUGUCAUUGCUAAACGGCCAUUCCCUCCAUUACCCCAUGCAAAUAUAUGGUUAUCUGGAAAAUAAAAAAGUUUAUCAUCUUAAAAGUCAAGAACUCCACUCUAGUGCUGUCUUCCGGAGGUUCAAUAGAACAGUUCUGUCCUAGUUCUCUGGAGGCUGGGUUCAUCUGAUUCACCAUCAACUGCUGGAGGGCAAUCAGCCACAGUCAAGCUAGCAGAAAGUUGUGUCCUAUGGAAUGCUGUUCCAGAUGACCAUCCAAAUUUUGGAAUGCUUUUUGGAAGAUGUGGGAAGUGAAGAAAGAGAGAAACUCUUGAUCUUUGGACCAUACUUACAGUAGGCAAACUCACUGAAUGAGGGAAUACCACUUAGGUAUCCAUAGGUGGAUUAAAAUUAGACAUGUGAAUUGUCUGCUUAUGUAAUACUAUCAGAUAUCAACAGUGAUGUAGCAUAUGUCAAAACAUAGAACAUUAAACUGGGAAUUCACACAGAAAAAUCCCUUCCUAAACAUAGAUAUUUAAUAUGAGUUAAAUUCCAUUUUGUACUGUCUUCACAUACACUGUAUGUAUGUUUCUCCAGGAUAAAGUUACUACAGUACUUAUAAUGGUUGAAUAUUAUUUCCAGCAUUAUUUUAAUAUCUAUUUUACAUGAGGUCCAUUCUGCCUGAGUUCAAGUGCUGGUUGGAACUGAAAGCUCUCUAAAGAUUUGACUAUUAGCACUUCUGUAUAGUCUUCUCCAGGUAUAAUCAGUCCACCCUACAUAGUCUAGCUACAAAGAUGCUAUGGCUAUCCACCUAUGAGACAGAUGAAGAGAUUGGGAGAUUAGUGGCAGCUCCUCCCCAUGGAACAGCUUGCCCCAUGAGGUUGAAUUACCCCCCAUUCUUUUAGUCUUAGGUAAGUUGGUCAAAGCAGUCUUCUUCUGAAGGACAUUUGGUUAAGAAAAUUUUAAAUGAAGAUAGCAAGAGUUAUCAUUCUGGGAUUAUAAUGAUGCUUAUGAUUUAAUAAGUAUACACUUAUUAAGCCAUCUACAGCUGCCUCAAAUAUGUGGCAUAUCAAUAACUGUAAAAUAAAUAAAAUGUUAAUCUCUAGGAACACUUAAUUCCUUCCAGCUGAUAAAUUGGGCCAAAGGCUAUUUGUUUAGUUGCAGUUCCACUUGGAGGCAGCUGGAGCCUUAUGUAUUUGGGACAUGAAUGGAUAUCCAUGCUCAAUUGGAGAGGCCAAUGUGAUCUGUCAUGAUGACCUCCUUGCAGUACAAGAUGCAAAUUCCUAGUAGCACUUGAUCCCUUCAUUGAUGGCAGGUGCCAAAGAAUAAUG